UGGGAACGAGCCAGCAGGCCA
This 21-nucleotide small nuclear RNA is filed under the name Arabidopsis thaliana (thale cress). RNAcentral's name for it is "snRNA_00935". The record is from RNAcentral. Lineage: Eukaryota; Viridiplantae; Streptophyta; Magnoliopsida; Brassicales; Brassicaceae.